RNAcentral lists this long non-coding RNA (943 nucleotides) under Capsicum annuum. RNAcentral's name for it is "long non-coding RNA (CANN_LNC015108)". The record is from RNAcentral. Lineage: Eukaryota; Viridiplantae; Streptophyta; Magnoliopsida; Solanales; Solanaceae.
AAAGUAUUGCCAAAAAAAGGAAAGGGUCAUUCUUUUUUAAAUAGAUUAAAAAGGAAGGUAGGUCAUUCGUUUUUUGAACCGAGGUAGUAGUUACUUACCAUGAGGAUUAACGUAUUGGUGUCAGAAAACUUUCUUUAAUAUACAAAUCCUUAUUGCUUUAAUAUUCUCUUUGAUAAUGGGAAGAAAUUCUCCUACACAAGGUUUAAUCAAAGUUACAUGACACAAAUCCUUGGAUUUCUAUACAUGGUAAAAUGACCAAGGUUGAAGGUCUUCAUAGCUGGGUGAGUUAUGGUUUCUUUGCUGUUUCCUUUCAGCUUCCAACAUGAUGGAAGUUGGUUAGCAGAUUUGAUCCCACAGAGACAAAAAAAUUAGGUGAUUUCUUCUGAUUUGUCCUUGCCUUGGUGGACAGAGUUACCUGAUACUAUUGCUGGUGAGCGGUAGGAGGUAGAAGAUAUCUUGUCGAAUGAGUCAAGGAGCACAAAAUCUGGUUAUCUGGUUAGCAUCCAGCCUAUUAUAUUUGCAAAGCAAUCACCUGCUCAUAUGGCGCCACCCUUGUGCUUCAAAACAGAAAUUACAGUAAUUUUUUUGGACAAGAACUGCAAUAUAGAAACUAUUCAAGAUUGUUUGCUGGUAUAGGUGACUAUUCAAUUCUAUCAAAGAAGAUAGCCACUGUGAUGCCACAAGUAGGGUCUGAAGAGGGCGAGGUGUAUGCAUAUCUUACCCCUACUCUUCUGUGUGGCAGAGAAGUUGUUUCCGAUAAAUAUUCUAUCAGGUAACACUGAACAUGAUUAAAGUGGCAUCAGUCUGUAAGAAUGAUAUUUCAUUCAAUUUCGGAUGUUUGUUCUCGUUAUAUGUUACAUAUUAUAGUGUACAGAUUGUUAUCCGAUAAUGAAAUUAUGCUUUAGUAUAUAUUGAUUUUAAUGCUUCAUGGUUUACAAUUCAU